ACAGCAGUCCCACGGUAAUACGAAGGGUGCAAGCGUUACUCGGAAUUACUGGGCGUAAAGCGUGCGUAGGUGGUGGUUUAAGUCCGUUGUGAAAGCCCUGGGCUCAACCUGGGAAUUGCAGUGGAUACUGGGUCACUAGAGUGUGGUAGAGGAUAGUGGAAUUUCCGGUGUAGCAGUGAAAUGCGUAGAGAUCGGAAGGAACAUCUGUGGCGAAGGCGACUAUCUGGGCCAACACUGACACUGAGGCACGAAAGCGUGGGGAGCAAACAGGAUUAGAUACCCCGGUAGUCCCUGUCUCUUAUACA
RNAcentral lists this ribosomal RNA (305 nucleotides) under uncultured bacterium. Its description in RNAcentral is "partial 16S ribosomal RNA". It matches the Rfam family "Bacterial small subunit ribosomal RNA", at positions 508 to 808 of the family's 1533-position model. The record is from RNAcentral.